UACGGGGGGGGCAAGCGUUGUUCGGAAUUACUGGGCGUAAAGGGCGUGUAGGCGGUGAUGCAAGUCUCUCGUGCAAACCCCUGGCUCAACCGUGGAAUUGCGAGAGAAACUCUCUGUCUUGAGUCCGGGAGAGGUGGGAGGAAUUCCCAGUGUAGCGGUGAAAUGCGUAGAUACUGGGAAGAACACCGGUGGCGAAGGCGGCUUUCUGGACCGGUACUGACGCUGAGGCGCGAAAGCUAGGGGAGCAAAUGGG
This 253-nucleotide ribosomal RNA is filed under the name uncultured bacterium. RNAcentral describes it as "partial 16S ribosomal RNA". It matches the Rfam family "Bacterial small subunit ribosomal RNA", at positions 524 to 776 of the family's 1533-position model. The record is from RNAcentral.